ACGCUAAUGGGGUACACCAAUAUCUCUACCCCCUUCGAACUCAUUUGACGGAUCACCUUCUGACUUCUUACGUGAACCCUCAUGGACCGGUGUCUACCGCAACACUGGCCAGAUGGGUCCACUGGUUUUUGUCUUUAGCGUCGAACCUUGUUUCGGAGCCCACUCGGUCAGGGGAGCGGCGGCCUCACAAACCUUUUCGGCCGACGCUUCCCUAGCCGACAUUAUACGCUGCGCGGACUGAGCGCGAGAGAGUACGUUUAGAACGUUCUAUUUUCGGCAAACAUCUCAUGCUUCCUUCACAUUGGUCAAUUCAA
Non-coding RNA from Pelobates cultripes (western spadefoot toad), 314 nucleotides. The record is from the annotation of a GenBank genome assembly. Lineage: Eukaryota; Metazoa; Chordata; Amphibia; Anura; Pelobatidae.